UGAGGAAUAUUGGUCAAUGGGCGAGAGCCUGAACCAGCCAAGUAGCGUGCAGGUUGACGGCCCUAUGGGUUGUAAACUGCUUUUAUGCGGGGAUAAAGUGCGUGACGUGUCGUGCAUUGCAGGUACCGCAUGAAUAAGGACCGGCUAAUUCCGUGCCAGCAGCCGCGGUAAUACGGAAGGUCCGGGCGUUAUCCGGAUUUAUUGGGUUUAAAGGGAGCGUAGGCCGCCAGAUAAGCGUGUUGUGAAAUGUACCGGCUCAACCGGUGAAUUGCAGCGCGAACUGUUUGGCUUGAGUACACGCAACGUGGGCGGAAUUCAUGGUGUAGCGGUGAAAUGCUUAGAUAUCAUGAGGAACUCCUAUUGCGAAGGCAGCUCACGGGAGUGUCACUGACGCUUAAGCUCGAAGGUGCGGGUAUCAAACAGG
RNAcentral lists this ribosomal RNA (424 nucleotides) under Verrucomicrobiota bacterium. Its description in RNAcentral is "Verrucomicrobia bacterium partial 16S ribosomal RNA". It matches the Rfam family "Bacterial small subunit ribosomal RNA", at positions 355 to 776 of the family's 1533-position model. The record is from RNAcentral. Lineage: Bacteria; Pseudomonadati; Verrucomicrobiota.